This 1108-nucleotide ribosomal RNA is filed under the name Neomicrococcus aestuarii. RNAcentral's name for it is "bacterial SSU rRNA". It matches the Rfam family "Bacterial small subunit ribosomal RNA", at positions 15 to 1135 of the family's 1533-position model. The record is from RNAcentral. Lineage: Bacteria; Bacillati; Actinomycetota; Actinomycetes; Micrococcales; Micrococcaceae.
GAUCAUGGCUCAGGAUGAACGCUGGCGGCGUGCUUAACACAUGCAAGUCGAACGAUGAUGCCUAGCUUGCUAGGUGGAUUAGUGGCGAACGGGUGAGUAACACGUGAGUAACCUGCCCCUGACUCUGGGAUAAGCCUGAGAAAUUGGGUCUAAUACUGGAUAUGAGCAUCUAUCGCAUGGUGGGUGUUGGAAAGAUUUUUUGGUUAGGGAUGGACUCGCGGCCUAUCAGCUUGUUGGUGAGGUAGUGGCUCACCAAGGCGACGACGGGUAGCCGGCCUGAGAGGGUGACCGGCCACACUGGGACUGAGACACGGCCCAGACUCCUACGGGAGGCAGCAGUGGGGAAUAUUGCACAAUGGGCGAAAGCCUGAUGCAGCGACGCCGCGUGAGGGAUGACGGCCUUCGGGUUGUAAACCUCUUUCAGUAGGGAAGAAGCGAAAGUGACGGUACCUGCAGAAGAAGCGCCGGCUAACUACGUGCCAGCAGCCGCGGUAAUACGUAGGGCGCAAGCGUUAUCCGGAAUUAUUGGGCGUAAAGAGCUCGUAGGCGGUUUGUCGCGUCUGCCGUGAAAGUCCGGGGCUUAACUCCGGAUCUGCGGUGGGUACGGGCAGGCUAGAGUGCAGUAGGGGAGACUGGAAUUCCUGGUGUAGCGGUGAAAUGCGCAGAUAUCAGGAGGAACACCGAUGGCGAAGGCAGGUCUCUGGGCUGUAACUGACGCUGAGGAGCGAAAGCAUGGGUAGCGAACAGGAUUAGAUACCCUGGUAGUCCAUGCCGUAAACGUUGGGCACUAGGUGUGGGGGACAUUCCACGUUUUCCGCGCCGUAGCUAACGCAUUAAGUGCCCCGCCUGGGGAGUACGGCCGCAAGGCUAAAACUCAAAGGAAUUGACGGGGGCCCGCACAAGCGGCGGAGCAUGCGGAUUAAUUCGAUGCAACGCGAAGAACCUUACCAAGGCUUGACAUGGACUGGAUCGCCGCAGAGAUGUGGUUUCCCUUCGGGGCUGGUUCACAGGUGGUGCAUGGUUGUCGUCAGCUCGUGUCGUGAGAUGUUGGGUUAAGUCCCGCAACGAGCGCAACCCUCGUUCUAUGUUGCCAGCACGUUAUGGUGGG